GACGAACGCUGGCGGCGUGCUUAACACAUGCAAGUGGAGCGACGAACCGGGGCUUGCCCCGGGGCAGAGCCGCGAACGGGUGAGUAACACGUGGGUAACCUACCUCGAUGACCGGGACAACCCGAGGAAACUCGGGCUAAUACCGGAUGAGCUCCUUCCACAUCAGUGGAUUGAGGAAAGAUAGCUUCGGCCUUCGCAUCAAGAUGGGCCCGCGGAGCAUUAGUUUGUUGGUGGGGUAACGGCCUACCAAGACUUCGAUGCUUAGCUGGUCUGAGAGGACGAUCAGCCACACUGGGACUGAGACACGGCCCAGACUCCUACGGGAGGCAGCAGUGGGGAAUCUUGCACAAUGCGCGAAAGCGUGAUGCAGCAACGCCGCGUGGGGGAAGAAGGCCUUCGGGUUGUAAACCCCUUUCAGUUGGGACGAAGCUUCGACGGUUAAUAGCCGGCUGGAGUGACGGUACCUUCAGAAGAAGCCCCGGCUAACUACGUGCCAGCAGCCGCAGUAACAC
This 512-nucleotide ribosomal RNA is filed under the name uncultured bacterium. RNAcentral's name for it is "bacterial SSU rRNA". It matches the Rfam family "Bacterial small subunit ribosomal RNA", at positions 28 to 526 of the family's 1533-position model. The record is from RNAcentral.